This 360-nucleotide long non-coding RNA is filed under the name Setaria viridis. RNAcentral's name for it is "long non-coding RNA (SVIR_LNC007386)". Lineage: Eukaryota; Viridiplantae; Streptophyta; Magnoliopsida; Poales; Poaceae. The record is from RNAcentral.
GCCGCGGCACCUUGUCUUCCGUUGCACUGGCACUCCAAUCAUGGCGGUUCGUGGAGCACGUCUGGGAGCUCUGGCACAGAAUCAGGACCUCCAGAUUAUCUGUUGGCUAGCCGGGAUCCAGCCUACCUGUCGUGUUUAUCGUUACAGUUUAGUAGUAUUCGCCUGCCUCUGAAAUCGUUAGUUUUCUUUCCCUUCCCCUGGUAGACUUGGCCAGUUGGAGUUGGGGUUGGGGCACAGACAGCUCGCACAGUCGCCGAUAAAGAAUGUCCUGGCCCCUUCUGGGGAUCAGGAUUAUUCCAACCCCAUUCCGAUAAAGAAUGUUCCGGGGCUCGGAUUAUUCUCUUCGUUCAUCCCGUCCCC